This 319-nucleotide ribosomal RNA is filed under the name uncultured bacterium. Its description in RNAcentral is "bacterial SSU rRNA". It matches the Rfam family "Bacterial small subunit ribosomal RNA", at positions 28 to 335 of the family's 1533-position model. The record is from RNAcentral.
GAUGAACGCUAGCUACAGGCUUAACACAUGCAAGUCGAGGGGAAACGAUAGAGAAAGCUUGCUUUUUCUAGGCGUCGACCGGCGCACGGGUGAGUAACGCGUAUCCAACCUGCCCAUCACUUGGGGAUAACCUUGCGAAAGUAAGACUAAUACCCAAUGAUAUCUCUAGAAGACAUCUGAAAGAGAUUAAAGAUUUAUCGGUGAUGGAUGGGGAUGCGUCUGAUUAGCUUGUUGGCGGGGUAACGGCCCACCAAGGCGACGAUCAGUAGGGGUUCUGAGAGGAAGGUCCCCCACAUUUGGAACUGAGACACGGUCCAAA